RNAcentral lists this ribosomal RNA (524 nucleotides) under uncultured bacterium. RNAcentral's name for it is "partial 16S ribosomal RNA". It matches the Rfam family "Bacterial small subunit ribosomal RNA", at positions 28 to 523 of the family's 1533-position model. The record is from RNAcentral.
GACGAACGCUGGCGGCGUGCCUAAUACGUGCAAGUCGAGCGCAGGAAAUCGACGGAACCCUUCGGGGGGAAGUCGAUGGAAUGAGCGGCGGACGGGUGAGUAACACGUAAAGAGCCUGCCCUCAAGUCUGGGAUAACCACGAGAAAUCGGGGCUAAUACCGGAUGGGUCAUCGGACCGCAUGGUCCGAGGAUGAAAGGCGCUUCGGCGUCGCCUGGGGAUGGCUUUGCGGUGCGUUAGCUAGUUGGUGGGGUAAUGGCCCACCAAGGCGACGAUGCAUAGCCGACCUGAGAGGGUGAUCGGCCACACUGGGACUGAGACACGGCCCAGACUCCUACGGGAGGCAGCAGUAGGGAAUCUUCCACAAUGGACGAAAGUCUGAUGGAGCAACGCCGCGUGAACGAUGAAGGCCUUCGGGUCGUAAAGUUCUGUUGUAAGGGAAGAACAAGUGCCGCAGGCAAUGGCGGCACCUUGACGGUACCUUGCGAGAAAGCCACGGCUAACUACGUGCCAGCAGCCGCCGCCG